Non-coding RNA from Phoenix dactylifera (date palm), 2815 nucleotides. The record is from RefSeq and is a predicted model, not a curated record. NCBI's taxonomy places the organism in Eukaryota, Viridiplantae, Streptophyta, Magnoliopsida, Arecales, Arecaceae.
CGUCCCCUCCAUCUCCCUCUCCUUCCUGCAAAUCCCAAGCCGGCGAGGGGGAGAGGGAGGCGCGGGCGGCGGGGAGGACGAGGAACCACUGGCUGUCGCCGAGGAGCCGUUGGUGACGUCGGAGGCGAGGGCGGUGGCCUCGGCGGCGCGGGUAGGGGGGAGAGGCCAAGGUGGGCGGCGAGGAGGUAGUGGGCGCGGAGGAGGCUGUUGUUGCGGCGGGAGAAGUCGCCAACGGAGAGGAGGAGGGAGCUGAUGGGAACGUCGUCGGAGGUCCAGAUCCGGUGAACCUCUGCUCUCUCUCUCUCUCUCUUAUUACUUUUUUAAGGCCUCCGUUAGCUCUGUUAAAGGGUUGGAACCUCCGUGACAAGUAUGAAGCGGCGGCACCGCGACGGCGCUUCUUAAUCCUGGUAUUAAAGCCGAAACGCAAGUAGGGUUUUAAAAGCUUUCCAGUUCCAGGACAAGGUUAACAGUUCGGACGGAGAGAAGAGAGGAGCGCUUUCCGGGUAUUUAAGGAGAACUCGUGGAUCGCUAUCUGCCCUACAGUUGCGCGAGAUGGCAGAGUGGGGCGGCGCGGCGGAGAGCGAUCUCAAGGCGGCGGGGGCGGAAGCGCUUCCGGACGGACGGAGCGGGGUUCGGCUCAGAGGCUGGCACAUCGAGUCCUCCAGGAGGCCCAUUCUUGGCUCCCUUGCCCUCCAAGAGUGGGAAGAAAAGCUUGGGACAUCACACUUGCCUGAGAUGGUUUUUGGGGAGAGUUCUUUAUAUCUCUUACAUGAGGAUAGUGGUAUUAAGUUGCACUUCAAUGCAUUUGAUGCUCUAAAGGGUUGGAAACAGGAAUCAUUGCCACCGGUUGAAGUUCCUGCAGCUGCAACAUGGAAAUCUAGAAGUAAACCUUUUCAGCAAGUGAUACUUGAUUACGACUAUACAUUUACGACACCAUAUUGUGGCAGUGAGGCAAUAGAACCAAAUACAGAAAAGGCAAUUUUGGAAGAUGGGUGCUGUAGCUUGUGCUGGGAGGACUCUGAUCAACGAAUUGAUCUGGCUGCACUGUCCUCAAAAGAACCAAUUCUCUUCUUUGAUGAGGUAGUUCUAUAUGAAGAUGAGCUGGCUGAUAGUGGAGUAUCACUCUUAACUGUAAAAGUGAGGGUGAUGCCCAGUUGUUGGUUUCUUCUAUUUCGUUUCUGGCUCAGAAUUGAUGGAGUACUAAUGAGAUUGAGGGAUACUCGAGUUUAUUGUCCUUUUGUAAGCGAUCACAAAUCCAUGCCUGCCAUUCUUCGUGAGAGCUGCUGGAGAGAAGCGACAAUCCAGAGUUUAUCUGCUGUAUGUUCGUGCAGUCUUUAUGUACAUGAAGGUUUUCCUUCUGAUUCUGCAGCAUAUGGAGAUCCGAAUCUUAUUGGUCAGAGGCUCCCUGUCAUCACACAUAAGACCCAAAGGCUGAAAGUUUCCAGAUCUAUCACUGGAGGCUGAUGAGACUGGUCACGGAGUUUGAUGGCUUUUCUACAUGGUUUACACCAAGGGUCACACCCCCUCUGUUUAAAGGCAAAAUGUCCGAGUUUGAAUAUUGGAUGGUGCAUCUCCAAGAAUUUGGACUUGGUUAAUUAUAAAUUGAAGUUGCAUGAAAACACCUUAAGAGGGGCAUGCUUGGACUGAGAAUCUGAGGAGUUUGUGGCUGCUGAGGAGAUGCUCCCGCCCAGGGUCAGGUUCAACCAUGUUCGGGAGUUGUCACCAACUUCCCUGUCAUCAUAGUUGCUGGCCAUGAUCAUGAUGAAAGGCAGUUCCCCAAUAAAAAGCCGUCGGUUCCAUGUGGAUACGGCAAAUGGAGGAAGAUAUGCCUGCCCUCUCUGCCAAAAGAGAGUGACAUAAGCAACCAACGCGAUUCCUAAUAGCUUUAGGGUGAAGCUCUUCUUAGAAGCAGGGGAAGCCAGGAAUCCAAAGCAAACAGUGAUAUACUUGUUUGGCUCCUUCUGGAGUAUUAUUCCUAGGGUUUGUGGUGUGGAUCAUUGCUCCAUGAGAGAAUAUAUGGAAGAGCUGUGCAGUUGUUUGCAAGCGACAGGAGAGAACGUCCAGCUCCCAACCUCUCACGUCUGGUGGGAUCCUGCCCUCAUCGAUCAAACUGUAUCGGUCCAAACCAAAGUCUUUCCGUCAAUUGGACAACUGCUGAUAUGCAUCCGUCCAAGUUCCAAGCCCAAAUCAAGUGUAUGAUGGCUGAGAUUGCUGAAAAGAACGAAGAAAAGCCUUCCAGCACAAGAUCAAAUGAAUACAAUGCGUAGGACGGUUCCCCACGCAAACGCAUAUCUUUUGUCGGGUCAAUUUCAUGCGCAAUUCUGGCAGCAUUAACAUUGGAUCUUUAACUAGAGGGCGCACGCAGCGAGAGCAGCGUGCCCUCUUCCACUGCCAGAAGCCAAUAGCGGGGAGAGGGGCAUCUCUUCCGGGGGCACUGAUGGUGACCUGAUAAGCCCUCCUGAUGAUCGUGGGCCCUUUUUUUUUUCCCGUCCUUUAUUUCUCCUAGUCGAGCAGGGAAAUAGGUCCGGAACGAAAACAGGUGGCCAGUAAUCACUGGCGCUGUUUUUGCUUUUUUGCGAGAGGUCUGCGGCAUCAGUGAGGCAAUCGAAUUGGGUACAAGCGUCGUGCACCAGAACAUUACUUCUCUUGUGCCCUUAACUGUUGUUGGUCAAGCAUACUGUGCGUCACUGAGUCUGGAGUCUUGCUUUCCUCGAGGGGACCAGAUCCAGAUUCUCUAAGCCUGAAGUCGAAUGUUUUGAAUGGAACAAACAGAACAGAUCAUUAGUGAAUUGCGUUUAGCAUGGUCGUUCCCCAA